CCAAUAAAAAUCAAGGGUUUUGAAAACAAAUCGGAGUACUUUUGCCACACGGAAACUUGGCGAUGAGUACCUUCCCGAAAAGCCUAAUCUAAUCUUAUGCCGCAGCAUUCCCCCCUGUGACUUUCUUUCUUUAUCAUAAAACCCUAGACAUCGUUUUUUUUUUGGGGUUUUCCCUAUUGUUAAUUCAAUCAGUUUUUUGGGGGGUUUUCCUUUAGUCUGAUUUUUUUAUUUAUUGUUUCGUGAUGGUACUACUGAUGAUGGAACGGAGAUAGAGCUAUUCGUCAUUGGAGCUAUUCGUGAUUGUUUUUGGAAUCAUUAUUUGAGAUUGAAGUAGAAGCUAUUCAGGAUAUCCUAGGUAUUUGAGAUUGAAGUAGAAGCUAUUCAGGAUAUCCUAGGUUUUACUCUGGUGUUGUUUUAAAGAUCAAACAACAUUGGACUUAGGUUCUAAUGACACUUCAAGUGAAAAUGAACUAUUGAAGUGUGCAGAGGUUGAGCAUUUUACAAAAUAUGAUCUAUUUCAUUUUUUAGAGGUCAUUUCACAACACCAAGACGAUGAGACCAGAAUGGAAUGCUGACUGCAGAAUAGUAGUGCAGUAAGAAAGAAUCCAAAUUCUGAAGAAGAGGUGAAAUUACCCAUGCAAAAUGAAAAAUUAGGGAAAGCUUUCAGGCAUUUGGUUAGAUAAUAUUUAAACUCAUAAAUGAAUCGGGUAAGCCUCCUAAAGUUGCAUUAAUUUCAACUGUUUACUUAUGUUCAAGGAAAAUAAGAACCUAUUUAAGUGUAGCCAGUACUUAGUAGGCUCAAAGCCUCCUUUUGGUCGAACGUUCUCAUUGAUAAUUUUGGCAACUACUUCAUACUGUGUCUACCUAUAUGAUUUGUAUUGGUUGUUUAAAUCUAACUAACUGAGUUAAUUUUUCCGGACACGACCAUUGUGACAUGUCCUUUAAGAAUUAAGGAAUGGUCGGAGUCCUUAAACAUGACUUUAACGAAAAUGCUCUAAACCCAUUUCUUAUCUCAUCUUUCAUCUCUCAUUUUGUUUUCCGUUAAAUGUGUUUUAAGAUUAUUUUCAACACAAGAUUAUGCAUAGCUAAUUAGGUAGCUGACUGAUCAAUUAGGCAUGGGACGUGGCCAACUUUUAAAAAUGUUGGUGAUUUUCGUGUAAUCUGUGCUAAUGUCAUCAUAGUGU
Papaver somniferum (opium poppy) is the source of this 1184-nucleotide long non-coding RNA. RefSeq lists it as uncharacterized. NCBI's taxonomy places the organism in Eukaryota, Viridiplantae, Streptophyta, Magnoliopsida, Ranunculales, Papaveraceae. The transcript has 4 exons. The record is from RefSeq and is a predicted model, not a curated record.